CCAAAUUGUAAGUCCGCUUACCCUAACUUAUUCUAAACAUUAUGAUUUGUGUUUAUAGCCUAAAGAUCGGACUUAGAAGCAAUGGAAAAGGAGUUUACGGCCUAAGCUCCUCCUUAGGCCGUAAACACCUAAAAUGAGGCCAAAAUGACCCAAACUUGUCCCCUUAGGCCGUAAACACCUAAAAUGAGGCCAAAAUGACCCAAACUUGUCCCUAAUGGCUUGGAAAUAAAUUGAGGUAUUAGCCUAGGAGUGUUUAAACAUUAAAACUCAUGGAUUUAGGGGAUAAAAGAGAGUUUACGGCCCAGGCAUAUGCCAAGGCCGUAAACACCUCUUAAACAUGUCUAAAAGUCCCAAGAACACUCCCAAACCACCCUUAGGCUUCAUACAUAAUUUAGGGACUUAGUAUUUUGGGUUUAGACCAUUUAAACACAAGGAAAUAUGGGGUGACUUGGAGUUUACGGCCCAAGCAAG
RNAcentral lists this long non-coding RNA (471 nucleotides) under Lactuca sativa (garden lettuce). RNAcentral describes it as "long non-coding RNA (LSAT_LNC006322)". Lineage: Eukaryota; Viridiplantae; Streptophyta; Magnoliopsida; Asterales; Asteraceae. The record is from RNAcentral.